RNAcentral lists this ribosomal RNA (467 nucleotides) under uncultured bacterium. Its description in RNAcentral is "partial 16S ribosomal RNA". It matches the Rfam family "Bacterial small subunit ribosomal RNA", at positions 28 to 507 of the family's 1533-position model. The record is from RNAcentral.
GGCGAACGCUGGCGGCGUGCUUAACACAUGCAAGCCGAACGGAAAGGCCUCUUUCGGGGGGUGCUGGGGUGGCGAACGGGUAAGUAACACGGGAGUAGCGUGGCCUUGACUUUGGGAUAACUUCCGGAAACUGGGGCUAAUACCGGAUAGGAGCUCCUGCUGCAUGGUGUGGGUUGGAAAGUAUCGGCGGUUGGGGAUGGACUCGCGGCGUAUCAGCUUGUUGGUGUGGUCGUGGCUGACGAAGGCUUUGACGGGUAGCCGGCCUGAGAGGGUGACCGGCCUCAUCGAGUCUGAGAAACGGCCCAGAGUCCUACGGGGGACAGCAGGGGCGAAUAUUGCACAAUGGGAGGAAGACUGAUGCAGCAACGCCGUGUGCGCGAUGACGGCAUUCGGGUUGUAAAACGCUUUGGCUCGUGACGUGGCAUUGUGUGACGGUAGCGGGUAAAGAAGGAGCGGCUAAAAACGGA